Zophobas morio is the source of this 695-nucleotide long non-coding RNA. RefSeq lists it as uncharacterized. The transcript has 3 exons. The record is from RefSeq and is a predicted model, not a curated record. NCBI's taxonomy places the organism in Eukaryota, Metazoa, Arthropoda, Insecta, Coleoptera, Tenebrionidae.
UGGUUUAGCAAGUAUAUCAAAGUUUCCUUAAUAUAUAUUGGAACUAGAGGUAGUAGAGACUUUGAAAGGCGCUAGCCUCUCUUUGAUCGGUACAGGUGUAUUAUACUUCCAGUUUCACUGGGUCAAUUUCAUCCAAGAUUAUAGUUAAUGUCGUGCUGAAAACUCACGCCAGUGAUUGGUCUUCUCUUGCAUCUGUUUUUUAUAUAUAUGUACUGCCUUCUUUUGCUCCGAAUGGGUGUCUUAUCCUUAAGACCGGCACCUUGGAUUUUAUGGGGACUGAGCCUAAGUUAUUAAAAAGUUCUGAAUCUUAACAGAAGCAAGUAAUUUCGGAAGAAAGUCAUGGGUGUAGCCUCUAUCACUGUGGUCAGAACAAUAGCCAAGAAUGCUAAAAAAAGCGAAGCAUUGCUCCAAACAAGCGCUUCAAGUAAAAAUUAACUUUAAAAUGCAUGGCUGUAACCACCCCGAUCUACGAGACAACGUGCUCCGGAGAAGUUCAAGCCCUGAUACGCAUGGCGAGUCAACCUAAGGAAUCAAUCCACCAACUUAAGGAUUCUUUCAGCUCUAUACAGAUUGGGGUUUCCGCCAAAAAUAAAACUUAACAUUAAUCGCGAUAAUUUUUUGGUUCGAAACAAUUUUAUCAUCUGAAUUGGAUCUUCAUUAACUAAAGAUUGAAUUUCAACAUGCGUCAAGAUGCU